CCCCCCGAAUUGUAGUCUAGAAAGGCGCCAUCGGCCGCGUCCGUCGCUCAAAUCCCUUGGAACAGGGUAUCGGAGAAGGUGAGAGUCCUGUACCGUGGCGGAUCGCGGCCGCACGAUGCGUUUUUGCAGAGUCGGGUUGCUUGGGAUUGCAGCUUGAAUUGGGUGGUAAAUUCCAUCUAAAGCUAAAUACUGGUUCAUGACCGAUAGCGAACAAGUACCGUGAGGGAAAGAUGCAAAGAACUUUGAAAAGAGAGUUAAAGAGUGCUUGAAAUCGGCAGGAGGAAACCCGUUUGUGCCUGGUUUCGUGUAGUCAAUUCAGCCGUUUCCAUCGGUGCACUUUGGCUGCGCGGGUCAGCCGCGAUUCUGAGUGUCUAAUACACGCCUGGGGGGCUUCGGUGAGCCAGGUUUUAAGCGCUCGGGAUUCCGGUUGACAGAACAGGCACAACCGACCCGUCUAGAAACACGGACCAAGGAGUCUGACACGGAUGCGAGUACCCGGGUGGCAAGCCCGCGUGCGCAAUGAAAGUAAAGGGCGUGCCCCGCCAACCGACCUUGAUCUUCUGUGAAGGGUUUGAGUCGAGCAUCACUGUCGGGACCCGAAAGAUGGUGAACUAUGCCUGAAUAGGUUGAAGUCUGCUGAAAGGCAGAUGGAGGGCCGUAGCGAUACUGACGUGCAAAUCGUUCGUCGAAUUUGGGUAUAGGGGCGAAAGACUAAUCGAACCAUCUAGUAGCUGGUUCCCUCCGAAGUUUCCCUCAGGAUAGCUUGGACGCAAGGGUUUUGU
RNAcentral lists this ribosomal RNA (782 nucleotides) under Haptophyta environmental samples. RNAcentral's name for it is "eukaryotic LSU rRNA". It matches the Rfam family "Eukaryotic large subunit ribosomal RNA", at positions 134 to 1004 of the family's 3401-position model. The record is from RNAcentral. Lineage: Eukaryota; Haptophyta.